AGAGUUUGAUUCUGGCUCAGAUUGAACGCUGGCGGCAGGCCUAACACAUGCAAGUCGAGGGUAACACAGAGAGCUUGCUCUCGGGUGACGAGCGGCGGACGGGUGAGUAAUGUCUGGGAACUGCCUGAUGGAGGGGGAUAACUACUGGAAACGGUAGCUAAUACCGCAUAACGUCGCAGACCAAAGUGGGGGACCUUCGGGCCUCAUGCCAUCAGAUGUGCCCAGAUGGGAUUAGCAGUAGGUGGGGUAAUGGCUCACCUAGGCGACGAUCCCUAGCUGGUCUGAGAGGAUGACCGCCACACUGGAACUGAGACACGGUCCAGACUCCUACGGGAGGCAGCAGUGGGGAAUAUUCACAAUGGGCGCAAGCCUGAUGCAGCCAUGCCGCGUGUAUGAAGAAGGCCUUCGGGUUGAAAGUACUUUCAGCGAGGAGGAAGGCAUUAAGGUUAAUAACCUUGGUGAUUGACGUUACCGCAGAAGAAGCACCGGCUAACUCCGUGCCAGCAGCCGCGGUAAUACGGAGGGUGCAAGGUUAAUCGGAAUUACUGGGCGUAAAGCGCACGCAGGCGGUCUGUCAAGUCGGAUGUGAAUCCCCGGGCUCAACCUGGGAACUGCAUUCGAAACUGGCAGGCUAGAGUCUUGUAGAGGGGGUAGAAUUCCAGGUGUAGCGGUGAAAUGCGUAGAGAUCUGGAGGAAUACCGGUGGCGAGGCGGCCCCCUGGACAAAGACUGACGCUCAGGUGCGAAAGCGUGGGGAGCAAACAGGAUAGAUACCCUGGUAGUCCACGCCGUAAACGAUGUCGACUUGGAGGUUGUGCCCUUGAGGCUGGCUUCCGGAGCUAACGCGUUAAGUCGACCGCCUGGGGAGUACGGCCGCAAGGUUAAAUCA
This 888-nucleotide ribosomal RNA is filed under the name uncultured Enterobacter sp. Its description in RNAcentral is "bacterial SSU rRNA". It matches the Rfam family "Bacterial small subunit ribosomal RNA", at positions 8 to 901 of the family's 1533-position model. The record is from RNAcentral. Lineage: Bacteria; Pseudomonadati; Pseudomonadota; Gammaproteobacteria; Enterobacterales; Enterobacteriaceae.